UGUCAGAAGUGGGAUUCGAACCCACACCCACAAGAGUGGUCUGCGACCUGAACGCAGCGACUUAGACCGCUCGGCCAUACUGAC
Molecule: transfer RNA, 84 nt
Filed under: Araneus ventricosus
Lineage: Eukaryota; Metazoa; Arthropoda; Arachnida; Araneae; Araneidae
Description: tRNA-Leu
Source: RNAcentral